Molecule: long non-coding RNA, 674 nt
Organism: Quercus lobata
Lineage: Eukaryota; Viridiplantae; Streptophyta; Magnoliopsida; Fagales; Fagaceae
Exons: 2
Source: RefSeq, a predicted model, not a curated record
AAAAAACUAUAUAAAAAAAAUAAAUAAAAAAAAAAUCAAACACUUCACUGUUUCCCUCUCCCUAUACGCUCCCUUCUCCCUUUCUCUGUCUCUCUCUCACUCUCUUCUGAAAUGUAUUUCCUAUGCACAAUUUUGAAACAAUUUCUCUCUAUUUGGUUGAAAAACUCAGAAAAAUGGCUUCUCCUCUUCAAGAACAAACCCAAGGGAGAAAUAACUAUGGCCGGCCAUUCCUGCCCCUGCCUGUUCCCUCCCGAUAUCCGACCACAGAAACCGCUGGCACACAAAUAUACAAUUUGUAAGGUGCAUCGUUACCAUCAGACCGUCAGAACUACCAUCGGUGUAUCUCUUGAACCUGUUUGGUUUCCUGUUAAUUGGAAAUGUUCAUAGUUUGCAUGAUAUUGCAUUCAUAAAUCCAACAUAUCAGAUGAGGCGCUUUAGAAAAAUUGGAGUCAUCACUAUAAUGGAUGGGCUAAUUCAUGAAAUGCGCCCACUUUAAAAGUUUUUAUUUUAUUUUUUAUUGAUGUAAGUUGCGUAAGCUUUUUGUUGUAAAAUUGGUAGUACCUUUAGCAUUUUCCAUAUGUUCUUACGUUUCAAUGCUUUGAUUGGGGAGUUUUGUUUUGUGUGCUAAUAUUUUGGAUGGGAAUGAUUAUACAUGGGGAAUUAUUACUAUAAAA